Molecule: long non-coding RNA, 1154 nt
Filed under: Homo sapiens (human)
Lineage: Eukaryota; Metazoa; Chordata; Mammalia; Primates; Hominidae
Description: HSALNT0314159
Source: RNAcentral
GCUUUUGGAAGGAUAAACUUUUAUUUCAAGGGAAAAUGCUGGACUCAGUUCUGCUCUCAUCUUAGAUCUGAAGGGAGUUGGCCAGGUCUCCUCUUCUUGAGGGUACAUGACUAAGAGAGAUGGGAGGGGGCCCACAGCACAGAGACCUGUUGCCAAGAACAUCUCAGGGUGGAGAGACCUUUGGAACAUUUUUUUCCACUCUACAUCAGACAGAAUAAAAUUGAUUAGCAUUUAAUUGGUUUCAGCUGUUCUUAACAUGUUGCAUAGAAAACGUCAAUGUACUUUGCUAAAUUCAAUAUUCCUUAUGGUUAACAGAUUGAAAACCAAAAACGUCCUUGAAGAAAACACCAGAAAUCAGUGCUUUAGAUCACACUGAGUUGUUUGCUAUUGGUCACCCACUUGGAAUGUUCUGGGAACGCUAACUACUUUGGAUUGGAUAUAUUCAGAAAAGAAACAAAUCUUUGUCUGAUCAGAUGUAUUUGGAGAAAACAAAAAACCCACAACCCAAAGGAUGGGAUUUCACAUCUCAAGACAUCUCCCAGGUAAUAAGUCUACAGAUUACAAAUCAUUUUCAUAGAAAAUAUUUUUGUACAAAUUAUACAGGUAUUCAGGAGCUGGGUCAUUAAUCAAUCCCCAUUUCUAUUUUAACAGGGGGGCAAGGUAGGGGAGAGGGAAAAACAGUUUUGGAUACAACUAUUUGGAAGGAGAGUAGAUAUGAAGAGGGCAAACCCUAGUUUUUCAUUACCUACAAUCAAUGUUUUUUUUCUUUAAAAAAAAAUCUUUCAAUCUUCAGUAUCUCUUUAAAAGCCCACUUCUUACCUACUAGCCAAUCCACCCCAAUUAUUUAAAUUCACUUGGUACACACCUUUGUCCACCAGGUAAAUUAUAUUCAUUAUGCCCACUGCUGCAGCACACAUAAACCAACACCCCUGCAUGGCUGAACAGGGCCUAAUCUAGGACUGAUGGGAGAAGUGCUUGCAAACCAAGAUCAAGGUGUCAUUUCUCUGCUAAUACUGUCUACCAAGCUGAUCCCUACAAAAACGCACAUAAAAGCAGGCAAGUUUAGCUACUGUGUUGCAAGAGAAACCAGGACCUUGUUAAAUAGUUCUCUCCAUUACCAUUUAUUCUCUCAAGGGAAGCUUAAAAAAAAAAAA